GACGAACCGUGCGAACGUUGUUCGGAUUCACUGGGCUUAAAGGGCGCGUAGGCGGGCGGUCAAGUCGGGGGUGAAAUCUUUCAGCUUAACUGGAAAAGUGCCUCCGAUACUGAUCGCCUCGAGGGAGGUAGGGGCAUGUGGAACUUCCGGUGGAGCGGUGAAAUGCGUAGAUAUCGGAAGGAACGCCGGUGGCGAAAGCGACGUGCUGGACCUCUUCUGACGCUGAGGCGCGAAAGCUAGGGGAGCAAACGGG
This 253-nucleotide ribosomal RNA is filed under the name uncultured bacterium. Its description in RNAcentral is "partial 16S ribosomal RNA". It matches the Rfam family "Bacterial small subunit ribosomal RNA", at positions 524 to 776 of the family's 1533-position model. The record is from RNAcentral.